UAUCAACCAUCAAGCUAAGCUUGUCGUUGGACCCUUUGUCGCCUGGCGACAGGUCCGAAAGAUAAUGAACGGUGUCAUGGCGACCCUAUAUGCAACGAGCUUGUAAAUAGCACGCAUUUGGUGGUCGUCUGGCCCGAUCGUCACCUUUUAUUUUUCUCCAGGUUGACCUCGGAUCAGGUAGGAAUACCCGCUGAACUUAA
This 200-nucleotide unclassified non-coding RNA is filed under the name soil metagenome. RNAcentral's name for it is "partial contains internal transcribed spacer 2 and large subunit ribosomal RNA". The record is from RNAcentral.